Non-coding RNA from Acanthosepion pharaonis, 106 nucleotides. The record is from the annotation of a GenBank genome assembly. Lineage: Eukaryota; Metazoa; Mollusca; Cephalopoda; Sepiida; Sepiidae.
UUACGGCCAUAUCACGUGGAAACGCCGAUUCUCAUACGAUCACUGAAGUUAAGCAACGUCGAACCUGGCCAGUACUUAGAUGGGUUGCCUCUUGGGAAUACCAAGU